RNAcentral lists this ribosomal RNA (829 nucleotides) under uncultured bacterium. RNAcentral describes it as "bacterial SSU rRNA". It matches the Rfam family "Bacterial small subunit ribosomal RNA", at positions 8 to 809 of the family's 1533-position model. The record is from RNAcentral.
AGAGUUUGAUUCUGGCUCAGAACGAACGCUGGCAGCGUGGAUGAGGCAUGCAAGUCGAACGGUCGCGGGAUGAUAGCAAUAUUUUCCCGCGAUAGUGGCGGAAGGGCGAGUAAUGCGAGAGCAAGCUGCCCCCCGGUUCGGGACAACGUCUGGAAACGGACGCUAAUACCGGAUCCGAAGCGCGGACAGAUGUCCGCGUCUUGAAAGGCGGGGCCCCGCGAGGGCCUGUCGCCGGGGGAGGCGCUCCCGUGCCAUCAGCUUGUUGGUGAGGUAACGGCUCACCAAGGCUCACGGCUAGGUGGACUGAGAGGUUGGUCACCCGCACUGGGACUGAGACACUGCCCAGACUCCUACGGGAGGCUGCAGUCGAGGAUCAUUCGCAAUGGGGGAAACCCUGACGAUGCGACGCUGCGUGGAGGAUGAAGGCCCUCGGGUCGCAAACUCCUGUCAUGUGGGACAAGACGGCGGCCGCGAACAGCGGCGCGCCAUUGAUGGUACCACAAGAGGAAGCCACGGCUAACUCUGUGCCAGCAGCCGCGGUAAUACAGAGGUGGCGAGCGUUGUUCGGAUUUACUGGGCGUAAAGCGUGCGUAGGCGGUCGCGUGUGUCGGAUGUGAAAUCCCGGGGCUCACCCCCGGAAGUGCAUCCGAAACUGCGCGGCUUGAGGCCGGGAUGGGUGACUGGAACACAUGGUGUAGCGGUGAAAUGCGUUGAUAUCAUGUGGAACACCGGAGGCGAAGGCGAGUCACUGGAACGGAUCUGACGCUGAGGCGCGAAAGCGUGGGGAGCAAACAGGAUUAGAUACCCUGGUAGUCCACGCCGUAAACGU